RNAcentral lists this ribosomal RNA (459 nucleotides) under uncultured bacterium. RNAcentral's name for it is "partial 16S ribosomal RNA". It matches the Rfam family "Bacterial small subunit ribosomal RNA", at positions 338 to 795 of the family's 1533-position model. The record is from RNAcentral.
CCUACGGGAGGCAGCAGUGAGGAAUAUUGGUCAAUGGGCGCGAGCCUGAACCAGCCAAGUCGCGUGAGGGAAGACGGUCCUAUGGAUUGUAAACCUCUUCUGUCGGGGAGCAAAAGACGCCACGUGUGGCGUUCCGAGAGUACCCGAAGAAAAAGCAUCGGCUAACUCCGUGCCAGCAGCCGCGGUAAUACGGAGGAUGCGAGCGUUAUCCGGAGUUAUUGGGUUAAAGGGGAGCGCAGGCGGAAGAUGAAGUCAGCGGUAAAAUUGAGAGGCCAAACCCCUUUGAGCCGUUGAAACUGGUUUUCUUGAGUGAGCGAGAAGUAUGCGGAAUGCGUGGUGUAGCGGUGAAAUGCAUAGAUAUCACGAAGAACUCCGAUUGCGAAGGCAGCAUACCGGAGCUCAACUGACGCUCAUGCACGAAAGUGUGGGUAUCGAACAGGAUUAGAUACCCUGGUAGUC